Molecule: ribosomal RNA, 690 nt
Filed under: uncultured Acidobacteriota bacterium
Lineage: Bacteria; Pseudomonadati; Acidobacteriota
Description: bacterial SSU rRNA
Rfam family: Bacterial small subunit ribosomal RNA
Source: RNAcentral
GAUCCUGGCUCAGAAUCAACGCUGGCGGCGUGCCUCAGACAUGCAAGUCGAACGAUUAAGACUCCCUUCGGGGAGUGUAUAAAGUGGCGCACGGGUGAGUAACACGUAAGUAAUCUACCUUCGAGUGGGGAAUAACGUUCGGAAACGGACGCUAAUACCGCAUAACGCAGCGGCAUCGCAAGAUGACAGUUGUUAAAGGAAUUUAUUUCGCUUGAAGAGGAGCUUGCGGCAGAUUAGCUAGUUGGUAAGGUAACGGCUUACCAAGGCUACGAUCUGUAUCCGGCCUGAGAGGGCGGUCGGACACACUGACACUGAAUAACGGGUCAGACUCCUACGGGAGGCAGCAGUCGGGAAUUUUGGGCAAUGGGCGAAAGCCUGACCCAGCAACGCCGCGUGAGGGAUGAAGUAUUUCGGUAUGUAAACCUCGAAAGAAUAGGAAGAAUAAAUGACGGUACUAUUUAUAAGCUCCGGCUAACUACGUGCCAGCAGCCGCGGUAAUACGUAGGGAGCAAGCGUUGUUCGGAUUUACUGGGCGUAAAGGGCGCGUAGGCGGCGCGGUAAGUCACUUGUGAAAUCUCUGAGCUUAACUCAGAACGGCCAAGUGAUACUGCAGUGCUAGAGUGCAGAAGGGGCAAUCGGAAUUCUUGGUGUAGCGGUGAAAUGCGUAGAUAUCAAGAGGAACACCUGAGG